AGUAAGAUUACUGAGUCAUGUGGUAAAUAUUUGUUUAGUUUUUAAAAAAUUGUCAAAUUGUUUUGCAGAGUGUUUGUACCAUUAUACAUUUCCUGUAGCAAU
Molecule: microRNA precursor, 102 nt
Filed under: Marmota monax (woodchuck)
Lineage: Eukaryota; Metazoa; Chordata; Mammalia; Rodentia; Sciuridae
Source: RNAcentral